GGGCGCAUAGUUCAGAGGUCAGAAUAUCGGUUCCGCAAGCCGCAGACACGGGUUCGACUCCCGUUGUGUCCACCA
RNAcentral lists this transfer RNA (75 nucleotides) under Muribaculaceae bacterium. RNAcentral's name for it is "tRNA-Ala". It matches the Rfam family "tRNA". From Rfam's summary of the family: Transfer RNA (tRNA) molecules are approximately 80 nucleotides in length. Their secondary structure includes four short double-helical elements and three loops (D, anti-codon, and T loops). Further hydrogen bonds mediate the characteristic L-shaped molecular structure. tRNAs have two regions of fundamental functional importance: the anti-codon, which is responsible for specific mRNA codon recognition, and the 3' end, to which the tRNAs corresponding amino acid is attached (by aminoacyl-tRNA synthetases). tRNAs cope with the degeneracy of the genetic code in two manners: having more than one tRNA (with a specific anti-codon) for a particular amino acid; and 'wobble' base-pairing, i.e. permitting non-standard base-pairing at the 3rd anti-codon position. The record is from RNAcentral. Lineage: Bacteria; Pseudomonadati; Bacteroidota; Bacteroidia; Bacteroidales; Muribaculaceae.